GAUGAAGAACGCAGCGAAAUGCGAUAAGUAGUGUGAAUUGCAGAAUUCAGUGAAUCAUCGAAUCUUUGAACGCACAUUGCGCCCCUUGGUAUUCCAUGGGGCAUGCCUGUUCGAGCGUCAUUACAACCCUCAGGCCCCCGGGCCUGGCGUUGGGGAUCGGCGGAAGCCCCCUGCGGGCACAACGCCGUCCCCCAAAUACAGUGGCGGUCCCGCCGCAGCUUCCAUUGCGUAGUAGCUAACACCUCGCAACUGGAGAGCGGCGCGGCCACGCCGUAAAACACCCAACUUCUGAAUGUUGACCUCGAAUCAGGUAGGAAUACCCGCUGAACUUAAGCAUAUCAAUAAGCGGAGGA
Molecule: unclassified non-coding RNA, 353 nt
Filed under: soil metagenome
Description: partial contains 5.8S ribosomal RNA, internal transcribed spacer 2, and large subunit ribosomal RNA
Rfam family: 5.8S ribosomal RNA (bases 1-120)
Source: RNAcentral